AGGGUUCGAUUAUGGCUCAGGAUGAACGCUAGCGGCAGGCUUAACACAUGCAAGUCGAGGGGUAACAGGGAUUGCUUGCAAUCCGCUGACGACCGGCGCACGGGUGCGUAACGCGUAUGCAACCUACCUUCUACAGGGGAAUAGUCAAUAGAAAUGUUGAAUAAUACCCCAUACGAUCUUUGAAUAGCAUUAUUUAGAGAAGAAAGUUCCGGCGGUAGAAGAUGGGCAUGCGUCCUAUUAGUUAGUUGGAGAGGUAAUGGCUCCCCAAGACAUCGAUAGGUAGGGGUCCUGAGAGGGAGACCCCCCACACUGGUACUGAGACACGGACCAGACUCCUACGGGAGGCAGCAGUGAGGAAUAUUGGACAAUGGAGGCAACUCUGAUCCAGCCAUGCCGCGUGCAGGAAGACUGCCCUAUGGGUUGUAAACUGCUUUUAUACAGGAAGAAAUGUACCUACGUGUAGGUAUUUGACGGUACUGUACGAAUAAGGAUCGGCUAACUCCGUGCCAGCCGCCGCGGUGAUAC
Molecule: ribosomal RNA, 525 nt
Filed under: uncultured bacterium
Lineage: Bacteria
Description: bacterial SSU rRNA
Rfam family: Bacterial small subunit ribosomal RNA
Source: RNAcentral